Molecule: ribosomal RNA, 497 nt
Filed under: uncultured bacterium
Lineage: Bacteria
Description: partial 16S ribosomal RNA
Rfam family: Bacterial small subunit ribosomal RNA
Source: RNAcentral
GACGAACGCUGGCGGCGUGCCUAAUACAUGCAAGUUGAGCGCUGAAGGUUGGUACUUGUACCAACUGGAUGAGCAGCGAACGGGUGAGUAACGCGUGGGGAAUCUGCCUUUGAGCGGGGGACAACAUUUGGAAACGAAUGCUAAUACCGCAUAAAAACUUUAAACACAAGUUUUAAGUUUGAAAGAUGCAAUUACAUCACUCAAAGAUGAUCCCGCGUUGUAUUAGCUAGUUGGUGAGGUAAAGGCUCACCAAGGCGAUGAUACAUAGCCGACCUGAGAGGGUGAUCGGCCACAUUGGGACUGAGACACGGCCCAAACUCCUACGGGAGGCAGUAGUAGGGAAUCUUCGGCAAUGGACGAAAGUCUGACCGAGCAACGCCGCGUGAGUGAAGAAGGUUUUCGGAUCGUAAAACUCUGUUGGUAGAGAAGAACGUUGGUGAGAGUGGAAAGCUCAUCAAGUGACGGUAACUACCCAGAAAGGGACGGCUAACUACGUG